CGGUCCUAUCGUCUUCGUGGCUGAUCGCCCCGUUGCUGUCAGAGAGAAAGACAGAGCCAAGAAGACGCUGCCCGCUGGGUUUGAGAUCAGAGAUUCUGGGAUCCCUGGGGCCGGUCUAGGGGUGUUUUACUGUGGAGACGGUGGCCUUCCCAUUGGAACACACUUUGGACCCUACGAAGGACACAGGACCGAUGAAGAGGGAGCCCUAGAGUGGAUACUCCUGGGAGAUCUACAAGAGCAGAC
Long non-coding RNA from Gadus chalcogrammus (walleye pollock), 243 nucleotides. RefSeq lists it as uncharacterized. The record is from RefSeq and is a predicted model, not a curated record. NCBI's taxonomy places the organism in Eukaryota, Metazoa, Chordata, Actinopteri, Gadiformes, Gadidae. The transcript has 3 exons.